AUUUAUGGCCAUGCUACCCUGAACGUGCCCUAUCCCAUCUAAUCUCAGAAACUAAGCAGGGUCGGGCCUGGUUAGUACUUGGGUGGGAGACCACCUAGGAAGACCAGGUGCUGUAGGUG
This 119-nucleotide ribosomal RNA is filed under the name Pteropus alecto (black flying fox). Lineage: Eukaryota; Metazoa; Chordata; Mammalia; Chiroptera; Pteropodidae. The record is from RNAcentral.